Molecule: ribosomal RNA, 253 nt
Filed under: uncultured bacterium
Lineage: Bacteria
Description: partial 16S ribosomal RNA
Rfam family: Bacterial small subunit ribosomal RNA
Source: RNAcentral
UACGUAGGGCGCAAGCGUUGUUCGGAUUUACUGGGCGUAAAGGGCGCGUAGGCGGCAUAUUAAGUCAUAUGUGAAAUCUCCGAGCUUAACUCGGAACUGUCAGCUGAUACUGAUGUGCUAGAGUGCGGAAGGGGCAAUCGGAAUUCUUGGUGUAGCGGUGAAAUGCGUAGAUAUCAAGAGGAACACCUGAGGUGAAGGCGGUCUCCUGGAGCCUGUUUGACGCUGAGGCGCGAAAGCUGGGGGAGCGAACGGG